AACGAACGCUGGCGGCAGGCUUAACACAUGCAAGUCGAGCGCCCCGCAAGGGGAGCGGCAGACGGGUGAGUAACGCGUGGGAACGUGCCCUUUGGUUCGGAACAACUCCGGGAAACUGGAGCUAAUACCGGAUAAGCCCUUCGGGGGAAAGAUUUAUCGCCAAAGGAUCGGCCCGCGCCUGAUUAGCUAGUUGGUGAGGUAAUGGCUCACCAAGGCGACGAUCAGUAGCUGGUCUGAGAGGAUGAUCAGCCACACUGGGACUGAGACACGGCCCAGACUCCUACGGGAGGCAGCAGUGGGGAAUAUUGGACAAUGGGCGCAAGCCUGAUCCAGCCAUGCCGCGUGAGUGAUGAAGGCCUUAGGGUUGUAAAGCUCUUUUGUCCGGGAAGAUAAUGACUGUACCGGAAGAAUAAGCCCCGGCUAACUUCGUGCCAGCAGCCGCCGUAA
RNAcentral lists this ribosomal RNA (447 nucleotides) under uncultured bacterium. RNAcentral describes it as "partial 16S ribosomal RNA". It matches the Rfam family "Bacterial small subunit ribosomal RNA", at positions 29 to 523 of the family's 1533-position model. The record is from RNAcentral.